GAUGAACGCUGGCGGCGUGCCUAAUACAUGCAAGUCGAGCGAACAGACGAGGAGCUUGCUCCUCUGACGUUAGCGGCGGACGGGUGAGUAACACGUGGAUAACCUACCUAUAAGACUGGGAUAACUUCGGGAAACCGGAGCUAAUACCGGAUAACAUGUUGAACCGCAUGGUUUAACAGUGAAAGACGGUCUUGCUGUCACUUAUAGAUGGAUCCGCGCCGCAUUAGCUAGUUGGUAAGGUAACGGCUUACCAAGGCAACGAUGCGUAGCCGACCUGAGAGGGUGAUCGGUCACACUGGAACUGAGACACGGUCCAGACUCCUACGGGAGGCAGCAGUAGGGAAUCUUCCGCAAUGGGCGAAAGCCUGACGGAGCAACGCCGCGUGAGUGAAGAAGGUCUUCGGAUCGUAAAACUCUGUUAUUAGGGAAGAACAAAUGUGUAAGUAACUAUGCACGUCUUGACGGUACCUAAUCAGAAAGCCACGGCUAACUACGU
Molecule: ribosomal RNA, 496 nt
Filed under: uncultured bacterium
Lineage: Bacteria
Description: partial 16S ribosomal RNA
Rfam family: Bacterial small subunit ribosomal RNA
Source: RNAcentral